UACGUAGGGUGCAAGCGUUGUCCGGAAUUAUUGGGCGUAAAGAGCUUGUAGGCGGUUUGUCGCGUCUGCUGUGAAAUUUCGGGGCUCAACCCCGAACUUGCAGUGGGUACGGGCAGGCUCGAGUUCGGUAGGGGAGACUGGAAUUCCUGGUGUAGCGGUGGAAUGCGCAGAUAUCAGGAGGAACACCGGUGGCGAAGGCGGGUCUCUGGGCCGAUACUGACGCUGAGGAGCGAAAGCGUGGGGAGCGAACAGG
RNAcentral lists this ribosomal RNA (253 nucleotides) under uncultured bacterium. Its description in RNAcentral is "partial 16S ribosomal RNA". It matches the Rfam family "Bacterial small subunit ribosomal RNA", at positions 524 to 776 of the family's 1533-position model. The record is from RNAcentral.